Molecule: ribosomal RNA, 429 nt
Filed under: Gemmatimonadota bacterium
Lineage: Bacteria; Pseudomonadati; Gemmatimonadota
Description: Gemmatimonadetes bacterium partial 16S ribosomal RNA
Rfam family: Bacterial small subunit ribosomal RNA
Source: RNAcentral
UAGGGAAUCUUCGGCAAUGGACGAAAGUCUGACCGAGCAACGCCGCGUGAGUGAAGAAGGUUUUCGGAUCGUAAAACUCUGUUGUUAGAGAAGAACAAGGACGUUAGUAACUGAACGUCCCCUGACGGUAUCUAACCAGAAAGCCACGGCUAACUACGUGCCAGCAGCCGCGGUAAUACGUAGGUGGCAAGCGUUGUCCGGAUUUAUUGGGCGUAAAGCGAGCGCAGGCGGUUUCUUAAGUCUGAUGUGAAAGCCCCCGGCUCAACCGGGGAGGGUCAUUGGAAACUGGGAGACUUGAGUGCAGAAGAGGAGAGUGGAAUUCCAUGUGUAGCGGUGAAAUGCGUAGAUAUAUGGGGAAACACCAGUGGCGAAGGCGGCUCUCUGGUCUGUAACUGACGCUGAGGCUCGAAAGCGUGGGGAGCAAACAGG